CGCCUCUCAGGGUCGCACCUGUAGAGUACCCAGUCCUCUACCAGUCUCGACUACAGGAGGGAGAGUCAAGCAGAGGCCUGUCCAUUCCAUUUUUAGCUUGGGCAAUGGCUGGCAAGUGGAAGGCAAUCUGCUACAAGU
This is a small nucleolar RNA of Tachyglossus aculeatus (Australian echidna), 138 nucleotides long. The record is from RefSeq and is a predicted model, not a curated record. NCBI's taxonomy places the organism in Eukaryota, Metazoa, Chordata, Mammalia, Monotremata, Tachyglossidae.